This is a long non-coding RNA of Drosophila miranda, 1131 nucleotides long. RefSeq lists it as uncharacterized. The record is from RefSeq and is a predicted model, not a curated record. The transcript is spliced from 4 exons. Lineage: Eukaryota; Metazoa; Arthropoda; Insecta; Diptera; Drosophilidae.
CCAAUUGGAGCCAACAGACGGAGCCAGCAUCCGAGGCUUUGACCUUAAGUUCUCCGUGUCCUACGCCACUCUGGAGGUUUUCCCAUUUAAAAUCAGCUGGCGCAGUUGUUAUUCAGUUAUUUUUCAGCAGAUGGUACAUUAUUUAGCUACCUGCACACUCUACGACGUACGACCUCUAUUCGACGAGACCCUCUCUGACCACAAGCUGAUAUGCCUCGAUCUCCUCCUCUUAGCAGCAGGUUGCCCCCUUCGGAUGCCAGAAAUACCUCUGGCGUGACCGUGGACACCGUUAUGACCACCAUCGCUUACCAGGAGGGUGACGCAUUCUUCUGACGGCCUUUCACUCCAGGAACCUGACCGGUUGACAACGCUAACUCUCGGCUCCUGCGCACGGGUUCAGGAGGGGCCAGGAGGGGUGCGUGUCAACAUAACCCCGAGCGCCCCUGAUUCCUAUCGCGUGAGGCUGUGUCGUUUGGCCUGGGCGACCUUUGGGUCCAGGCACUGCCAUAGCAAUCUGCCUUGCGUCCCACGCUGCUUUCUCCGCCUUUCCAGUCCGCUCUCCGUCGGCACCUCCUCCCCAUCCUCUCGGGAGGUCCAAGGGAUGUCUUCUUGGCUCAACUGUGGCAACCACUGGCUGCUACUGACAUGCUACUGGCCAUAGCCAUGAUGCCACUGCUGUGCCGCUAAGUCGACAACGUGGUGUCACGUCCGUUGCAGCAUGGACAAGUGAUCAACGGUGCACGCGCACGGAAAGUAUUGUGAGCAACCCCCCAUUCACACGCCGUCGAAUCAAACGCUGGGCUUAGAGACGCAGGACUAAUCGGAUUACCACGAGCCGAGUCGUACCACCACAGUCCUAUCAGACAGCAGGACAGAAGCGAACCCUUUGCAAGAUCCCAACCUAACAAGUCAUCGUCAUCCUUCGACCUGGCCAUCGACAACAAGUACUUUGACUAUGACAAUCAAGAGAGGAGCUACGCGGGCUACUAGACUCUAGAUAGAUUUCGUUGUUGUUAAGUUUAGGGAUAUACGCGUCCAUAUAUGUAUUUAGAUAGUAGAUACAAAUGUUUCCCACUUGUUUAUUUAUUUAUACUAAGCUAAGUAAUGACGAAUAAAACUAUUGAAAAAUCA